Molecule: ribosomal RNA, 253 nt
Filed under: uncultured bacterium
Lineage: Bacteria
Description: partial 16S ribosomal RNA
Rfam family: Bacterial small subunit ribosomal RNA
Source: RNAcentral
UACGUAGGGGGCUAGCGUUGUCCGGAUUUAUUGGGCGUAAAGAGCGCGUAGGCGGUCAGGUAGGUCUGGUGUGAAAACUCGAGGCUUAACCUCGAGAUGUCAUCGGAAACCAUCUGGCUAGAGUCCGGAAGAGGAGAGUGGAAUUCCUGGUGUAGCGGUGAAAUGCGCAGAUAUCAGGAAGAACACCAAUGGCGAAAGCAGCUCUCUGGGACGGUACUGACGCUGAGACGCGAAAGCGUGGGGAGCGAACAGG